UGAGAAAGAAAGACUCAUUUCUGCUCGACCGUUGGUCGCCAUUUUGAGGACCUUAAAGGAGCUGUUAAAGUUGUAACUACGCAGUUAAUUUUUGAGUUUUUUUUAAAUAGUACUUUCGCUCACUUAAGGAUAAAUGUCUCGAUUCAACAAUAACCGUGGUGGGUACGGGAUGAAUCAAUUUCAGCCACGCCGAGGCGGUGGUCCCGGUGGCCCUAUGCGUGGCGGCCUAAUGGGAAACCCGCAUUACCGAAACCACCCUUUCCAAAACUCCAAUCAGAACCGUAGGGGAGGCAACAACAACUUCAGCGGAUCGAAUAGCCAGAAUUCCCAACAGAAGUCAGCGCAAAACCAGUCGAAGCCAAUUAUUCCUCCACCGAGUCCCGGACCGGCCCUCACCAUGAAAGGCCCGAUGGACCAACAGAAACCACCGGCCCAGCAGGAGCAGCAGAAACAGAACCCUCCUGCGGACCAGUCGAAGACCCAGACUUCAACUCCAAAACCGGACACGACCCCCGCUCAGGCCAACCAGAACCAGCAGAUCAAGACUCCGGCUGGGAAUGCCAACGCACAGCCACCGCAGACUCCACAGCAAAACCCGAAACCGAGUCCACAACAAGGCCAGAAACCCGCACCGCAACAGAGCCCCAAGACGGUUCCGCAGCAGAGCCCGAAACCCGGUCCACAGCAGAACCAGAAACCCGGUCCACAGCAGAACCAGAGACCCGGUCCGCAGCAGAACCAGAGACCCGGUCCACAGCAGAACCAGCGGCCUGGACCCCAACAGAACCAGCGACCUGGUCCCCAACAGAACCAACGGCCCGGUCCGCAACAGGCCUCUAGACCAGGCCAACAACAGGGCCAAAGGACUGGUCCCCAACAAGUCAACAAGACCGGCCCAGUCCAGGGUUCGGGCCCUAAGCCGCCCCAGAGGGCGGAACCAAUGGCCGAACAGAAGCCGAAAGAGGAGCCCACAAAGAGCGAACCAGAUGAAGCAGGGAUGUUCAAGGCAGCCUUGUCCAUGUUGCUGAAGCCUGGAGAGAAGUCCUACACACAGAGAUGCCGUCUGUUUGUUGGUAACCUGCCAAAUGACAUCACAGAAGAUGAUUUCAGAAAACUUUUUGCAAAGUAUGGAGAACCUUCGGAAGUCUUUGUCAACAAAGGAAAAGGCUUUGGCUUCAUCAGACUGGAGUCGCGGGCGCUGGCAGAAAUCGCUAAAGCUGAGAUGGAUGACUAUCCGAUGAAGGGCAGACCGCUUCGCGUUCGUUUUGCUACACACUCUGCUGCGCUGUCUGUGAAGAAUCUGUCUCCGUUUGUUUCCAACGAGCUCCUGGACGAAGCCUUCUCGCAGUUCGGCCUGGUCGAGAGGGCUGUCGUUGUCGUUGAUGAUCGCGGACGCUCUGCAGGGCGCGGCAUUGUGGAGUUUGCUUCCAGAACUGCUGCUAAAAAGGCUCUGGACCGAUGCAACGAAGGCGUUUUCCUUCUCACCGCGUCGCCCCGUCCUGUAGUUGUUGAGCCUCUGGAGCAGUUUGAUUGUGAUGAUGGGCUUCCUGAGAAAUUUGUCCAGAAAAACCCAAAAUUUCAAGUAGCGCGUGAGCAGCCUCCUCGCUUUCCCCGCCCCGGCUCCUUUGAAUUUGAAUAUUCAAAACGUUGGAAGUCUCUGGAUGAGAUGGAGAAGCAGCAAAGGGAGCAGGUGGAGAAGAACAUGCGUGAAGCUCGUGAGAAACUGGAGAGCGAGAUGGAAGACGCUUACCAUGAGCAUCAGGCCAACAUGCUGCGGCAGGAACUGCUGAGGCGGCAGGAAGAGCUGCGGCGCAUGGAGGAACUGCACAACCAAGAAAUGCAAAAGAGAAAGGAAAUGCAGCUCAGACAGGAAGAAGAACGGCGCCGACGGGAAGAAGAGCUUCUCAGAAAGAGGGAAAUGGAGGAACAGAUACGGCGUCAGCGUGAAGAAAACUACCGAAUGGGAAACUUCAUGGAUAGAGACGUUGACAUACGGAUGCACAACAGUGGCUCCUUAGGCAUGGGAGAUAUGGCCUUCAGCGGAUCCAACCAGAACUUUGCGAUGAGUGGCCUCGGCUUUGAGGGUCAGUCUGGACUGGGAUCAUCUCCAGGAGGCAUGAUGACCAGUGAAAUGGAGCCUCGACCAAUCAGAGGAGGCUGACGGUUCCACCUGAGCAGCCACGGUAAAAAUCACACCUGAAGUCUGAGAACAGGAAGCCACGGAGGCUGGAGUCUGAACUCCAUCAGGAAGAUUUAAAAUGGUUCACAACUCGGUACAGGAAGCCAGAUGCAUGUGAAGCUGCAGUACCAGGACGCAACCAGCAGGGGGCGGACAUCCAGCGACAGAUUCUGUUUUUCUGUUGGAAAAUAAAUGAGCAAAAAACUGUUUUGUUCAUGUUUGAGUUUAUUCAGCUGAGUCAUUUUGUACUUUUAGGAGUAUUUUUACUACAUGGUGCGUUUUACUUUUACUUGAAGCGUUAAGUUAAAUUUAUGAAUAUUCUACUGCUGUGAGUAACUUCACUGAAUGAAGAACAAACUUGUUUUAACUAAAAAUUCACCAGACAUACCUGUAGUGUUUGUUUUAGUUUCAUAAGCUUAAUAUUGAAAUGGCAACAUUUCCACAGAAAUGUAUAUUUUGGUCCAUCUGAUGAUGCAUUUCUUAAAUAUUAAAUUAUUGUUUUGAUCAGUCA
Molecule: RNA transcript, 2690 nt
Organism: Xiphophorus hellerii (green swordtail)
Lineage: Eukaryota; Metazoa; Chordata; Actinopteri; Cyprinodontiformes; Poeciliidae
Gene: sfpq
Gene name: splicing factor proline/glutamine-rich
Exons: 12
Source: RefSeq, a predicted model, not a curated record